GAGAGGUUGGCUCAGCUGGUUGGCACAUCUCGUUUACACCGAGAGGGUCCGCGGUUCGAAGCCGUGACCGCCCACCA
This 77-nucleotide transfer RNA is filed under the name Bradyrhizobium sp. UNPA324. Its description in RNAcentral is "tRNA-Val". The record is from RNAcentral. Lineage: Bacteria; Pseudomonadati; Pseudomonadota; Alphaproteobacteria; Hyphomicrobiales; Nitrobacteraceae.